RNAcentral lists this ribosomal RNA (443 nucleotides) under uncultured bacterium. RNAcentral describes it as "partial 16S ribosomal RNA". It matches the Rfam family "Bacterial small subunit ribosomal RNA", at positions 338 to 795 of the family's 1533-position model. The record is from RNAcentral.
CCUACGGAGGGCAGCAGUGGGGAAUAUUGGGCAAUGGGCGCAAGCCUGACCCAGCAACGCCGCGUGAAGGAAGAAGGCUUUCGGGUUGUAAACUUCUUUUGUAAGGGACGAAGCAAGUGACGGUACCUGACGAAUAAGCCACGGCUAACUACGUGCCAGCAGCCGCGGUAAUACGUAGGUGGCAAGCGUUAUCCGGAUUUACUGGGUGUAAAGGGGGUGUAGGGGGGACUGAAAGUCCGAUGUGAAAACCACGGGCUCAACCUGUGGCCUGCAUUUGAAACUGUAGUUCUUGAGGACUGGAGAGGCAGACGGAAUUCCUAGUGUAGCGGUGAAAUGCGUAGAUAUUAGGAGGAACACCAGUGGCGAAGGCGGUCUGCUGGACAUCAACUGACGCUGAGGCGCGAAAGCGUGGGGAGCAAACAGGAUUAGAUACCCGAGUAGUC